UUCAUCAACAUUAACAUAAUUGAUGCAUGCGGGUUUCUUCUCCUUCUGUUUGCUGUAAUUUUUGUUUGUUUUAAUUAGUUUAUGCAUGGUUAAUCUCCUUCAAUCUGACAAACAAUUGAUUUGCAUGUUUAGUUUGAAGUUACAAUCUGGUGGUAGUAAUCGGUCACUCUGAUCUUUCCCUCUCCAUCUUUGUUUCAGUGAUUCUCUAUUUGCUGAGCUAAAAUUUAUCUCCCUUUUUUAUAUUUUUUAAUACCCUUUUUCUAUUGAAGGUGAUGUCCAUGAUGUUGAUUAUGACAAUGGUGGUGGUGAAUAUGGUUAUGAUGCUAAUAUUGGACUAUGUUGUUGAACAACAGAUUAUGAUAAAGAACGUAGCAUUGGGAUAUGCAUGUUGGGUGGAAUGGCCUUGAUUCAUGAUGAAAGUCAGGCCCUUGAUUGAGUGUAAUGGCCAUGGGAUAAGGCUUAGAUGACGACGACGACAAUGAUGACCUCUGCUGCUAUUGGAUUUUCUACUUGAAGUUCCGAAUAUAUGAGUUUGCACUUCUAUUCUUCAUAUGCUCAGUUGGUUUUCUGUGGGCUUCUAUCCUUCAAUCCUUCAGCUCAUGGGAGUGAAUUUGGUGGUGCUAUGCUUGUCAUGAGCAGUGGGGUUUUGCUGGGCAGUUUCAUAUCAAAUUCCAUGGUUUUAAGCUGUAGUGCAGAAUUGCAGGCCAGUAACAGCCCCAAGGAUCUGUUGUGAUUUUGAUUGAUUCAUAGAAUUUGGUUGUUAUUAUCAAAUGGAAUGGCCCUAUGUGCUAUUUGUAUGGGCUGCUCAGAUGUCAGACACCCUUUCAGUGAUUCAUGCGUUGCAGCAUCUUUUUGUUUUUGAAUUGAUGCAGUUGGAGCCGAUUUCUUUCUUACUUCUUCUUACUUGGUUUCUUUCUUUUCUUGUCUUCUUUUUUUAUUAGCUGAAUGCAGAUGAUGUCCAAUGUUAAUGUUCAAUCUAUGCAUUAGUGGCUAGCUGUUGCCGUCUGCUCGGGAUAGUUUAUUUUACAACAGAUUCAUUGAUGGAGACUAGGUGCAGGCCAGUGGCUGCUUGAUUUUUCUCCAAUUUUCUGUGCAUUCAUGGCCUUCUGAUGUUGGUAUAGUGAUGUCUUAGAUAUGGGCAAUUCGUCUAACUUUGAGUUGUUAAAAGUAGCCCACUUGUUUAUGCAUUGUCAAUUUGCAAACUUCAUGUGAGAAGCUUUUCCUAUCUCCUUGGUAUAGGUUUAUAUACUGAUGCAGGGAGGGACAUGAUGAGGUCGAUCACCAUCUUCCUCAGGGGAUAUCUGCUCCGAAUCCAUGGAGCUCUUUGGACUCCUAACAGAGCUUCCUCAAAUUCACAAGGGAUAAAAGUAGAAAUAAUUUCUAAUAAAUUCAAAACAACUUGAUUGAUGAUAAAAAAUGAAAUUACAACUCUUUAAAUAAAGAAGUCAAACCUAGGAUAGAG
Molecule: long non-coding RNA, 1462 nt
Organism: Magnolia sinica
Lineage: Eukaryota; Viridiplantae; Streptophyta; Magnoliopsida; Magnoliales; Magnoliaceae
Exons: 3
Source: RefSeq, a predicted model, not a curated record